RNAcentral lists this ribosomal RNA (1510 nucleotides) under Phocaeicola vulgatus ATCC 8482. RNAcentral's name for it is "bacterial SSU rRNA". It matches the Rfam family "Bacterial small subunit ribosomal RNA". The record is from RNAcentral. Lineage: Bacteria; Pseudomonadati; Bacteroidota; Bacteroidia; Bacteroidales; Bacteroidaceae.
UAUUACAAUGAAGAGUUUGAUCCUGGCUCAGGAUGAACGCUAGCUACAGGCUUAACACAUGCAAGUCGAGGGGCAGCAUGGUCUUAGCUUGCUAAGGCCGAUGGCGACCGGCGCACGGGUGAGUAACACGUAUCCAACCUGCCGUCUACUCUUGGACAGCCUUCUGAAAGGAAGAUUAAUACAAGAUGGCAUCAUGAGUCCGCAUGUUCACAUGAUUAAAGGUAUUCCGGUAGACGAUGGGGAUGCGUUCCAUUAGAUAGUAGGCGGGGUAACGGCCCACCUAGUCUUCGAUGGAUAGGGGUUCUGAGAGGAAGGUCCCCCACAUUGGAACUGAGACACGGUCCAAACUCCUACGGGAGGCAGCAGUGAGGAAUAUUGGUCAAUGGGCGAGAGCCUGAACCAGCCAAGUAGCGUGAAGGAUGACUGCCCUAUGGGUUGUAAACUUCUUUUAUAAAGGAAUAAAGUCGGGUAUGGAUACCCGUUUGCAUGUACUUUAUGAAUAAGGAUCGGCUAACUCCGUGCCAGCAGCCGCGGUAAUACGGAGGAUCCGAGCGUUAUCCGGAUUUAUUGGGUUUAAAGGGAGCGUAGAUGGAUGUUUAAGUCAGUUGUGAAAGUUUGCGGCUCAACCGUAAAAUUGCAGUUGAUACUGGAUAUCUUGAGUGCAGUUGAGGCAGGCGGAAUUCGUGGUGUAGCGGUGAAAUGCUUAGAUAUCACGAAGAACUCCGAUUGCGAAGGCAGCCUGCUAAGCUGCAACUGACAUUGAGGCUCGAAAGUGUGGGUAUCAAACAGGAUUAGAUACCCUGGUAGUCCACACGGUAAACGAUGAAUACUCGCUGUUUGCGAUAUACGGCAAGCGGCCAAGCGAAAGCGUUAAGUAUUCCACCUGGGGAGUACGCCGGCAACGGUGAAACUCAAAGGAAUUGACGGGGGCCCGCACAAGCGGAGGAACAUGUGGUUUAAUUCGAUGAUACGCGAGGAACCUUACCCGGGCUUAAAUUGCAGAUGAAUUACGGUGAAAGCCGUAAGCCGCAAGGCAUCUGUGAAGGUGCUGCAUGGUUGUCGUCAGCUCGUGCCGUGAGGUGUCGGCUUAAGUGCCAUAACGAGCGCAACCCUUGUUGUCAGUUACUAACAGGUCAUGCUGAGGACUCUGACAAGACUGCCAUCGUAAGAUGUGAGGAAGGUGGGGAUGACGUCAAAUCAGCACGGCCCUUACGUCCGGGGCUACACACGUGUUACAAUGGGGGGUACAGAGGGCCGCUACCACGCGAGUGGAUGCCAAUCCCCAAAACCUCUCUCAGUUCGGACUGGAGUCUGCAACCCGACUCCACGAAGCUGGAUUCGCUAGUAAUCGCGCAUCAGCCACGGCGCGGUGAAUACGUUCCCGGGCCUUGUACACACCGCCCGUCAAGCCAUGGGAGCCGGGGGUACCUGAAGUGCGUAACCGCGAGGAGCGCCCUAGGGUAAAACUGGUGACUGGGGCUAAGUCGUAACAAGGUAGCCGUACCGGAAG